UCGGCGGGGAAGAAAUCGCAUCUCCUAAUACGGGGUGUGGAUGACGGUACCCGAAUAAGAAGCACCGGCUAACUACGUGCCAGCAGCCGCGGUAAUACGUAGGGUGCGAGCGUUAAUCGGAAUUACUGGGCGUAAAGCGUGCGCAAGCGGUUUUGUAAGACAGGCGUGAAAUCCCCGGGCUCAACCUGGGAACUGCGCUUGUGACUGCAAGGCUAGAGUACGGCAGAGGGGGGUGGAAUUCCACGUGUAGCAGUGAAAUGCGUAGAGAUGUGGAGGAACACCAAUGGCGAAGGCAGCCCCCUGGGUCGAUACUGACGCUCAUGCACGAAAGCGUGGGUAGCAAACAGGAUUAGAUACCCUGGUAGUCCACGCCCUAAACGAUGUCAACUAGGUGUUGGGUGGGUAAAACCAUUUAGUACCGUAGCUAACGCGUGAAGUUGACCGCCUGGGGAGUACGGCCGCAAGGUCAAAACUCAAAGGAAUUGACGGGGACCCGCACAAGCGGUGGAUGAUGUGGAUUAAUUCGAUGCAACGCGAAAAACCUUACCUACCCUUGACAUGUCCAGAAGCCCGGAGAGAUUUGGGUGUGCCCGAAAGGGAACUGGAACACAGGUGCUGCAUGGCUGUCGUCAGCUCGUGUCGUGAGAUGUUGGGUUAAGUCCCGCAACGAGCGCAACCCUUGUCGUUAAUUGCCAUCAUUCAGUUGGGCACUUUAACGAGACUGCCGGUGACAAACCGGAGGAAGGUGGGGAUGACGUCAAGUCCUCAUGGCCCUUAUGGGUAGGGCUUCACACGUCAUACAAUGGUCGGUACAGAGGGUUGCCAAGCCGCGAGGUGGAGCCAAUCCCAGAAAGCCGAUCGUAGUCCGGAUUGCAGGCUGCAACUCGCCUGCAUGAAGUCGGAAUCGCUAGUAAUCGCGGAUCAGCAUGUCGCGGCGAAUACGUUCCCGGGUCUUGUACACACCGCCCGUCACACCAUGGGAGCGGGUUCCGCCAGAAGUAGGUAGCCUAACCGCAAGGGGGGCGCUUACCACGGCGGGGUUCGUGACUGGGGUGAAGUCGUAACAAGGUAGCC
RNAcentral lists this ribosomal RNA (1074 nucleotides) under uncultured beta proteobacterium. RNAcentral's name for it is "bacterial SSU rRNA". It matches the Rfam family "Bacterial small subunit ribosomal RNA", at positions 434 to 1501 of the family's 1533-position model. The record is from RNAcentral. Lineage: Bacteria; Pseudomonadati; Pseudomonadota; Betaproteobacteria.